Talpa occidentalis (Iberian mole) is the source of this 598-nucleotide long non-coding RNA. RefSeq lists it as uncharacterized. The transcript has 3 exons. The record is from RefSeq and is a predicted model, not a curated record. Lineage: Eukaryota; Metazoa; Chordata; Mammalia; Eulipotyphla; Talpidae.
GGUUACCGCGUUACUUCCGUACCCAUAGCAACCACAAGGCCAGGUCCUGCCGCGCUCCUCCUGCAGAGGGAGCAAGCAUGCACUGCAGAAAGAGAUAGCGACUGCUCAGGAAGGAAAGGCCAGAAUAACUCAGCAGGACUUGAAGGCUUUCUGCUGGAGGAGGUUUAACUAUAAUAUUAUAACCAGAUGGGUAAGAAAAGGCAAUGACGGUCAUUUGGCUCCAACUCUGGGACUUGAAAAUAAAGCAAACCUGAGUUUGAGACUUGGUCCUGCUGCAACUCACCUGCUCUGUACUUGGAUAACAUUGGUGUGCAGAGGUGGAGGAAGACAAGUGAGAAACAUAAUACAAUAAUCCAAGCAAGAUAAUCACUAAGGAUUUGUAUUAAGGACAUGAUUACCAUAUCAAGAAAAGGAUGACUGUUAUAACAAGAUCCAACAUAACAAUAGAUUAAAUAAAUGUUGACUUCUCAAGUGAUUUUGAUAUAGUGGGAUUAAGAGAUACCAUCCAGGAUUCUAGUUUUUAUUUGUUGCUCUUAUCCUUUUUCUUUCUUUUUGUCUUCCAUUCUUUAUACUUUUAAUUAAACAUUUUACAUUAUUC